CCACACACGAUCCAAGAUCGACACUUUUUGUGAACUGUAAACUUUUUUUAUUGAAGUGUUUUGAGAAGUAAUUCUCAAUUGUCAAUAGAAAACUUUUUUAAACACCAACUUUAAACAAAAAUGAUUUAUACAUUGGAACUUAAAUGUUAUAACAAGUUCGUCUUAUUAUAACGCUAGAUUAUUAAUUGAUAAA
RNAcentral lists this unclassified non-coding RNA (193 nucleotides) under uncultured fungus. RNAcentral's name for it is "sequence contains ITS1, 5.8S rRNA gene". The record is from RNAcentral. Lineage: Eukaryota; Fungi.